AUUGAGCGCUGGCGGCAUGCCUUACACAUGCAAGUCGAACGGCAGCACGGGAGCAAUCCUGGUGGCGAGUGGCGAACGGGUGAGUAAAGUAUCGGAACGUGCCCAGUCGUGGGGGAUAACGUAGCGAAAGUUACGCUAAUACCGCAUACGAUCUAUGGAUGAAAGCGGGGGAUCGCAAGACCUCGCGCGAUUGGAGCGGCCGAUAUCAGAUUAGGUAGUUGGUGGGGUAAAGGCUCACCAAGCCGACGAUCUGUAGCUGGUCUGAGAGGACGACCAGCCACACUGGGACUGAGACACGGCCCAGACUCCUACGGGAGGCAGCAGUGGGGAAUUUUGGACAAUGGGCGCAAGCCUGAUCCAGCCAUGCCGCGUGCAGGAUGAAGGCCUUCGGGUUGUAAACUGCUUUUGUACGGAACGAAAAGGUUUGACUUAAUACGUUGGACUCAUGACGGUACCGUAAGAAUAAGCACCGGCUAACUCUGUGCCAGCCGCCGCGGUAA
This 500-nucleotide ribosomal RNA is filed under the name uncultured bacterium. RNAcentral's name for it is "partial 16S ribosomal RNA". It matches the Rfam family "Bacterial small subunit ribosomal RNA", at positions 30 to 523 of the family's 1533-position model. The record is from RNAcentral.